AUUUCCUUAGUAUAGCAAUACAGAUGACUUCCAAUUAUCUACCCUUGGUGAAAACCCGAGAGGAAAUA
This 68-nucleotide transfer RNA is filed under the name Odorrana aureola. RNAcentral's name for it is "tRNA-Gly". Lineage: Eukaryota; Metazoa; Chordata; Amphibia; Anura; Ranidae. The record is from RNAcentral.